UAAGACGAAGGGGGCUAGCGUUGUUCGGAAUUACUGGGCGUAAAGGGCGCGCAGGCGGCUUUGCAAGUCAGGCGUUAAAGACCCAGGCUCAACCUGGGGAAUGCGCUUGAUACUGCAGAGCUUGAGAUCGGAAGAGGAGAGUGGAAUUCCCAGUGUAGAGGUGAAAUUCGUAGAUAUUGGGAAGAACACCAGUGGCGAAGGCGGCUCUCUGGUCCGAUUCUGACGCUGAGGCGCGAAAGCGUGGGGAGCAAACAGGAUUAGAUACCCUGGUAGUCCACGCCGUAAACGAUGUGUGCUGGACGUUGGAAGGCCUAGCCUUUCGGUGUCGUAGCUAACGCGUUAAGCACACCGCCUGGGGAGUACGGCCGCAAGGUUA
RNAcentral lists this ribosomal RNA (376 nucleotides) under uncultured bacterium. RNAcentral's name for it is "bacterial SSU rRNA". It matches the Rfam family "Bacterial small subunit ribosomal RNA", at positions 521 to 896 of the family's 1533-position model. The record is from RNAcentral.